GCGGGCGCGCGCACGCCGGCCCCCGACGCGGUCCAACCCGCGCGCCUGCCGGCCCGGGCCUCGCCGCCGCGCGCCCACUUCCGCAUCCGGCGCCGGGCGCUUCCGCUCGUAGCGGCGUCUGCCGGGAGGGUGUGCUACAGACCUCCAGAUGUGGGCCCGUGGGAUUCAGCAGAGGAUGAGUCCUCUGUCGUGCUGUCAUCAGUAAGCCACUCUUCCCAACUGCUUUCCCGCCAUCCACUGUCCUUAUGUCUACCCUGCUUCUCAAUCUGGAUUUUGGGGAACCUCCCCCUAAAAAAGCUUUAGAGGGGAAUGCCAAGCACCGAAAAUUCGUCAAGAAGCGGCGGCUCUUGGAACGGAGGGGCUUUCUGAAUAAGAAGAACCAGCCCCCGAGCAAGACACCUAAGCUACAUUCAGAACCUACGAAGAAAGGGGAGACUCCUAAGGUGGAUGGCACUUGGAAGGUUUCUCCCCUUCCAAAAAAGAAGGCAGUUGCCUCCAGCAGUGGACCAGAGCAGUCCCUGGACAAGAAGACUGCAGUGCCGUGGCUGACACCUGCCCCUCCACAGAAGGCUGGCUCUGCUUUGGCUAAAGUAGAUUUGCUGGGGGAGUUCCAGAGUGCCCUUCCAAAGAUUAGGAGCCACCCAACUCGCCCCCACAAGAAGGGCCCACAGAAGAAUCCUACUCAGAAGAAUGCCCCACAGAAUUCCAUCCAGUCUCAUUCAGACAAUAAGUGCUCUGGAACAAUCCAGAAAACACCGAAGAAGAUGGUGGCCAUUGACUGUGAAAUGGUGGGCACGGGACCCAAGGGGCAUGUCAGUUCCCUGGCUCGAUGUAGCAUUGUCAACUACCAUGGAGAUGUGCUCUAUGACGAGUACAUCCUUCCGCCCUGCCACAUCGUGGACUACCGGACCAGGUGGAGUGGCAUCCGGAAGCAGCACAUGGUGAAUGCUACACCCUUCAAGGUUGCACGGGGCCAGAUCUUGAAGAUACUCACAGGGAAGAUAGUGGUGGGCCACGCCAUCCACAACGACUUCAAAGCCCUUCAGUACUUCCACCCCAAGUCCCUCACCCGUGACACCUCCCACAUUCCCCCCCUCAACCGGAAGGCUGACUGCCCAGAGAAUGCCACUAUGUCUCUGAAGAGUCUCACCAAGAAGCUUCUAAACCGGGACAUCCAGGUUGGGAAAAGUGGACAUUCCUCCGUGGAAGAUGCUCAGGCCACCAUGGAGCUGUACAAGUUGGUUGAAGUCGAGUGGGAACAGCACCUGGCCCAGAAUCCCCCAAAGGACUAAUAGCAGUGGGGGCGCUGUGAUGUGGGGAUACAGAGGCGGCACCACACCCAGGAGAAACCGGGCCAUGGACCAGUGGACAGCUCUACCAGCUCCACCUCUUCACAAGCUCAAGCUGUGAGGGAGAGAGAGGCUCCACCCCAGGCUUAAUAUUCAUUGAAAUUUCCCCUCAGGUGUUGUGUGUCUGGCUAAGUGUUCCGCGGAAGGAGGAAGCCUCCAUGUCAGAAGCAGCCGUAUACUGUUUACCUCUUCAGUGGUGCUAACCUUGGGUCCCAGGGUGCUGGCUCCAGCAGGCCUUCUGACCUUCAAGGGGCAGGGCAUACUGGGAAGUGUAGUUUCCCAAACUGCCUUAUCGCCAGGGUGUCCCAUUUUAUGCCUUUUGUUCUCAAGUAAUUAGCAGCACCUUGUGUCACUCUGAGAAGGACCCUGGUUGGAUGAUUGUGCUGCGAAUCACAGACUCAGCUUUUGUCUCAGUCUCCACCUAGUUUGUGGGGGCAUACUGCUUGUCCUUGCCACUCUGACCUCCCGAGGAGCCAUCCCUGGUGAGAGGUUCAGUUCUCCUCUGGGUUACGCAGUAGAGGACCAUAAUGUUGGCAGUCAGAUGGAAGCCAGAUUGGAGAAGAGCCAGGAGAUGAGUUCUGUCUGAAUAACCCGGGUAAGCAAUGAUGGAGGGAGGCCUGGAUCACGGAGGUGAGAGGAUGCACAUGAACACCAUGGGGAGGUAGGAGCUACUGAAGACCUAGAGGUCAGAGCAGGACGAUUAAAGACAGUCUUGAUACUUCUGACCUGCGGAGGAUAAGCAGCAGUGAUGUCGUUCACCAGGACAGAGAGUGAUGGGCAGAAGAGUGGUUUCCCAGGAAGCUGACUCUGGGGUGCCUUGGAGCUGCCUGAAGAUACUGAGUGAGAGACCUGGGACUGAUGGCUCAGAGACUGCCAGGCAGCAGGGGGGGAACCUUGGAUGGGGAGGAGGCCUUUCCAUAUGAAGGUGCAUGCAGGAGAGCGCAAGGCCAAGAGGAGAGGCUUGGGAUCCACCCUGGAGGGCAGCCUGAGGGAGGCUACCAGGUGGGCCAGAGGGCAACCCAAGAGGCUCUCCAGGGGGGAGGGACAGUAUCAGACACAACGGAGCGGGCCAGCAGCAUGAGAGCCAAGGAAAGGCUCUGUUUUUGUAUGAAUUUGGUGCCUUUCAUCUGAGCAGUGUCUGCGGUGGGGGCAGAGGGCAGCAGAAGCUCACCCGAGGCGGGUUGCAGAAUAUAUUGGAGGUGAAAAGGGAGAGAGGUGGUGUGCACCGCUCUCCAGGGGCUCUGAAGAGGGGCCCAUGAGGACCACAUGGGAAUGAGGGGUCUGAGGAGGCUGCUGGCAAAGCCGUCAACCACGUGGCAGAGGAGGUGGCCGCUAUAGUGGGUCCCAAGAGAUUGGGGGGAUGAGCUUGACCUUGGCCAGCAAUGGGGACCCUUGUCUUCUAGGUCCAAAGGGAAGGAGGAAGGGAUGGGGCAGACGAGUAUGUUUCUGGGCAGCACCCGAUUGUUCGUUAAAUCUGAGUAGAGGGGGGGAUCCCUGGGUGGCGCAGCGGUUUAGCACCUGCCUUUGGCCCAGGGCACGAUCCUGGAGACCCGGGAUAGAAUCCCAUGUCGGGCUCCUGGUGCAUGGAGCCUGCUUCUCCCUCUGCCUAUGUCUCUGCCUCUCUCUCUCUCUCUCUCUCUCUCUCUCUCUCUCUCUCUGUGACUAUCAUAAGUAAAUAAAAAUUAAAAAAAAAAACAUUUAAAAAAAAGGAGCAGCCACGGAGAAGGGAAAAUGAGCUGAUGCAGAUGGACCUGAGUUUGCGGUGGUGCUGCAAGCAGGUCUUUUUCACCUGGCAGCGCAAAUCUAGAAGGGGAGAGCUUCCACGGUUGGGAGGAUGAGGUGUGCUGGAGUCCUUGGACUUGCAGCCUUGAGAGGCUAAGCUGUUGAGUGAGGGUCAGGGACCCUCCUCCCAGUGGCCAGCCUGACCUUGGAGACCUGGAAGGGGGAGCCUGGGCCAGAUCUGCAGUGCCCUGGGCAUGCGCAGCAAUGAACACAUUGCCUUUCUGAGGAGGAGGCUGAGUGCUACUGAGAAGCAUGAAGAGUCCUGGCCUCUCCCAGCUGGGGCAGGGCCGCCCUUGUUUGCAGACUUGAUUUUUGUCAGAGCGCCUCUUUUAUGAGCCUAUCAAGGACAGUAAAUAGACGAUUAAAUCAAGAACAGAAGUACUGGGGUGCCUGGGUGGCUCAGUCGGUUGGGCAUUUGCCUUCAGCUCAGGUCAUGAUCUCAGAGUCCUGGGAUCAAGUUCCACAUGGGGCUCCCUGCUCAGCAGGCAGUCUGGUUCUCCCUCCUCCACCCCCUCCUCCACCAGAGUGUGUGCACAUACACUUUAACCCUCCUUCAAAUAAAUAAGUAAUCUUAAAAAAAAAAAAAAAAAAAAAAGAACCAGGUCCGUCCAAGUGGCUCAGUGGUUUAGCACCACCUUCAGCCCAGGGUGUGAUCCUGGAGACCCAGAAUCGAGUCCCACGUCAGGCUCCCAGCAUGGAGCCUGCUUCUCCCUCUGCCUGUGUCUCUGCCUCUUUCUCUCUGUGUCUCUCAUGAAUAAAUAAAUAAAAUCUUUAAAAAUAUGGGCAGCCCGGGGGGCUCAGCGGUUUAGCUCGGGCUUCAGCCCAGGGCGUGAUCCUGGAGCUCCGGGAUCGAGUCCCACGUCAGGCUCCCUACAUGGAGCCUCCUUCUCCCUCUGCCUGUGCCUCAGCCUCUCUCUGUGUGUGUCUUUCAUGAAUGAAUAGGUAAAAUCUUAAAAAAAAAAAAACUUUAAAAAUAAAUAAAUAGGGAUCCCUGGGUGGCGCAGCGUUUAGCGCCUGCCUUUGGCCCAGGGUGUGAUCCUGGAGACCCGGGAUCGAAUCCCACGUCGGGCUCCCGGUGCAUGGAGCCUGCUUCUCCCUCUGCCUGUGUCUCUGCUUCUCUCUCUAUCUGUGUGACUAUCAUAAAUAAAAAUAAAAAAAAAUUUAAAAAUAAAUAAAUAAAUAAAUAAAUAAAUAAUAAAAAGAAUCAGUACUAAUGAAAGGCACAAUCAAUUAUUUCUUUCAGCCUCAUAGUCACUGAUUUGAGCUGAUAUCAUUUGCUUACCUACCUUUCAUUCAUCUGUUCCAGAAACGGUUAUCAAGUACCAACCAUUGCCAGACACUGUUGUUAGCCUGCAAAACCUACUUGGGCUUCCCUUGCAAUGGGGGCUGAUGAGUGCUAUGAAGGACAAUGAGGAGGUAGGCAGGUAGAUGUGGACAUGAGACUAGAUGGGCUAUUUAAAGAAGACCUCUCUGAGGACAGGACAUGUGAGCAGAGGCCUGAAAACAGUGAGGAAAUCUGUCAUGUAAGUAUCUGGGGAAGAACAUUCCAGAGAAAGUGUGAAGUGCAAAGGCACUGAGGCCGGAGUACACUUGGUAUAUUCAGGAGCAGCAAGGCCAGUGUCUCAAGUGGAGUGAGCCAAGGGAAAAGUGGUAGGAAUGGGAUCAGUGAGCAGGGGAGGUGUAAGCAGGAAAUACGGAGCCUUUAGAGCAGUAAAGGCUUGGCUUCUAUCUGCACAAAAUGCCAGGCAUUGCAGGGUUUUGAGCAAAGGAGUGGUUUGAACUGACUUAAGGUGUAAAGGAUCCUCCCUCCCCUAACCCUUGGGCUGCUGAGAAAGGAGAGAAGGAGGACAGAGAGAACCAUGGAGCUCUGGCUCUGUCUAGGCAAGAGGUGACAGGAGCCCUGGCAGCCGAGGUGGUAAGUGGCCUAAUUUGGGACAGAUUACCUUCCCACACAAGCAUGAUCUUUAGUGUGGUUGAUCCCAAGCAAAUGUUUAUUUUAUUUCAUUUCAUUUAUUUUCUUUAGUAGCUCUACAUCCAACAUGGGGCUCAAACCACAACCCCAAGAUCAGGAGUCUCACACUCUUCCAACUGAGAUGGCCAGGCAUCCCAGAGCAAAUGUUUAAAGCAAGGUUGAUGUUUCGACCUUUGAAUUCUCAUCUGAGCUCUGUACGCAUGGCCCACCCAUAACAGAGCGCUCAGGGAGCGCUUGCACCCUCGAAGGUCAGGACCUAGUGUGGUCAGGGGUGGGGAUUGGCUGUAGCAUCUGGGCAGUCACAUGGAGAGAUCUCUUUCUGGCAGUGAUAAAAUGGGUAAGGGACAUUUGGUGACUUGGUGAGCCAGGCUUCCUCCCAAGGCCCCGGGCUGCCCCUGGCUGCCCCACCUGGCUGCCCCUGCCUUCAGAGCCCCUGCUCGGGUCUCAUCCGUCCUCUUUGUCCCCACCACUUGGCUGGGCUGACCUGCAGGCUUGCUUGCUUUCUUUAGUAUGUGUGCUUCCUACCCUCACUCAGGGACACCACCAACUCUGUGCUUUCUUUGAAAGGGUAUAUAUGGGGCAGCCUGGGUGGCUCGGCAGUUUAGCACUGCCUUCAGCCCAGGGUGUGAUCCUGGAGUCCCAAGAUCAAGUACCCCGUCAGGCUCCCUGCAUGGAGCCUGCUUCUCUCUCUGCCUGUGUCUGUGCCUCUCUCUCUCUGUGUGUCUCAUGAAUAAAUAAAUAAAAUCUUAAAAAAAAAGGGGGGGGGUAUAUAUGUGAGGAAUCGGAUUUUGAGAGAGGUUGGGGUAGGGGGAGAGGAAGAGAGAAAGGAGGUAUUUUUAAAAUUUUGGCAUGGAAAGACAAACACUUUAGUCAUCUUCCAGGCUCAACCAAAUCCAAUUCUGAAGUGCUUAAGAACAAAGCUUUGCAAUCAGCUGUAUUCAAGGCAGCACAGGGGCCACUGUCACAAAGCACUGGGCUGAGUCCUGCAACUCCUUUCUGGGCGGGACCUGCCACUCUGGCCCCUCUGUCAUGGCUGGGCUCUGAGCAGCACCCAGAGGCAGCUUCCCCAAAGGAAGGGUCAGUCUCAUCAUUCCCUUCUACCCUAUGGAAUCCUGUUUGGUCGCUUCUUUGGAAAGAUUCCAUGAAGGGGUUCCAACCAUAACCACAGGAAGAAGGGGGACUGCCCCUGCCCUGGGACCCAGAGAGGGAGCAGAGGCAGAUAAUCCAGCCUGGCAGCUUGCUCAGGCUGGGGCUGGGGCUCUGGGCUGGGCCAGGAGAGUGAGUAGAUCUGGGAAACUUUCCUGGAGGGCGAGCGGGUGGAGCUGCAGGAGGAGCCUUUGGAGAAAGGGCUGAGUGUUCUGGCGGCCUCCUCCCAGGCUAGGACCCACUCCAUGCACACCCUCCCACCAAGGCAGGGAGCACCUCCUCCGAGCUUUGGCACCAGUUCCCUGGGCAAACUCAGAGCUCAAAAGAGGGGAUUUGGUUCACAGAGGCCACAAUACUCAAAAGCAGCAGAGAAAGGCCUGCGAGUGUCCUGGACCCAGGCCGACUCCCUCUUUGGGCCAGUUGCUGCGAGCUCGGAGGGAAGACAGGCCCAGCAAAAGUCCAGAUCAUUUGGAUACCUGAAAUCCUGAGGCUGACCACCCCAGAGCUCUGGGGUUUAGGAGGCGGGAGACUACAAAAUCCAGGAGACACAGACUGGCUCCUUUGAUCUCCCAGGGACAUGUCCCUGCGGAUCCCCAAGUGCCAAACUCCCCCUUGGAUGUCUUCCCAGGGUCCGUGGAGGAGACACAGGCAAGGGAGGUGGGGUUUUGUCAAGGCAGACUGAUGGAAGCUCACUGGCAGUAGCCCAGUGCCUCUGUAAUCCUGGCAGGCUGGGGGGCCCUUGUGGGACCGGGGGUAGUGGGCAGAGGGAGGCCAGAGACUGUUGAGUCUCUCUUUCUUUGACAGCUAACAUUUCCCAGAGCUAGCGCCCACAGGAGAAAGGAAAUCAGAGCUUCCCACCUCACACAUCUUUUUCCCAUUUUGUUCGUGCUGUCCAGGGAAAGCCAUUAGGGCUAGGUCAGUCUGGGGCCUCCCCCACCGCCCAUCUCUCCAGCCGGCUACAAGGAGGGGCAGGGAUGGGGGGGUCAUUGGGAGGACAAGGCCCUAGCCUGCUAAGGGGCCAGACUGAACUCUUGCACGCCCUCUUCAUUCCCUGCCCCCUCAGGAUGGGAGUUGGGGGUGGGGGCCCGGCAUCUGGUUGCUGGGGCCCUCCCUCACUUUGCCCCUGCACCUCUGCUUCUGUCUCCAGGGAGUCUGGCCUGCUGGCCCUAAGAAAGUCUGGCUUGCUUGGCCUGAGUCUGCAGGAAGAAGCCCCUUGGGUUGGGGGCUCUGACCUCCUCCCUGGAGCCAGGCAGGGGGUGGCACAUGGCUGGGUACUCCGGUCUGGAAGUGUGAUGCACUGGGAGCAUCAAGGAGCCUAGAAGGGGAGUCCUCCCCAAGCUGACUGACCUCCUCCCUGAGGCCAAGCCAUCAGCCUGUCAUCCUGCCCCUGCUCCCGGGGACAGUGAGUCCACUGCCCUCUUUCGAGCCCUACCCAGUACCGCGCACACACACCCCCUGCUCUGUCUUGUCUCUGGGACCUUGCCUGGCUCCCUCCCUCUCACUCCUUCUUCAAUCCUGGAGUUGGCUUCUCUGGCCCAUGGUCACUCUCUGCAGUUCAGGUCAGAGAAGGAGCAUAUCCCCCAGCCAGUCUGCAGCCCUGCUGAUUUCUUUCUUCUGCCAGAAAGUACAAGUCAUCUCAAUGGGGAGAGGGAUUCCCUGGAACCCCAGAGCUCCUUCAAUUUCCCACCCUCAGAGAGCAGGAGAGGAGGCAUCUGGGAGAUGGCCUGAGCUCCCCAGAACAAGUCUGGGGUCAGGCUGCAAGCUGCUCAUCUUUUCCAGGCCAGGCCACUGUCCCCAGGUACCUGGCAAACCCAGGUGUUCAGCCCACCAAACUUGUCAUGGCCCUGGCCUUCCCCGCCCUGCCCUGGGCUGCCAGGGGUUAAGGGACUGGUACAGGGCAAGGGGUGGGAGUGGCAGAGGGGUCUAGCCCUAGUCUCUGACUCAUAAAAGCCAAGAGGAGUUUAACUGCAGGUCACAGGGCUGCCUGACUUCUCCAUCCAGCAGUGCAGCCAGGAGGGGGGGUGGUCAUUCAGGAGGGGAAGUGGGGGCCACAGCUGGCCAGGCUCAGGCCCAGGCCCAUCCAGCUUCAGAUGCUGGCAGCUACCAUCAACAGUGCCGGCGAUAUUGGUUCCCCACCUCACCCUUGGAGGUUCCCUCAAAAGCAGGAAGACUCCAGAGUAAGGGGAGUGGGAUGUUGGUGCCUGUCAGUGCAGCAGGCUAGAAACAUGGGCAGUGGCCUGGAUGGGGAAAGAGGUGAUGCCCUCUGCCAGACCAGCAGGAAGCACUAGUCUGGGUGCUGCCACAAAAGCACAGUGACCGAGAAGCAAGCACCUCAAGGUCAGAGAGCAAGAAGAGUGUGACGGCUGCCCUCACCUCCGCGCUGCCCCCUGAAGAGGCCAGCAGAGCCAGGGGCCUCUCUCAGGGGACAGGACUUGGUCUGGACACGUCCUCAGCCAGUGCAUCCUCACCUCCUCCCGCUCGCCUGCCCGGCUCAGCGUGCCCAGCCCAGCCCUGAGAACAGCGUUGGCAGCUGGGAACCAGGUAGCAGAGCCAAAAACAACAGAGGAGCUGCUUGGCUGCCUGGGUGCCGCUCAGACCCUCGCCUGCUCUGUGAUUUCCCCUGGAGAGGGCAGCCCUCCUCCCACCUGAGGCUCUGACCCUGCUCAGUUCAGCAGGGCUGGGGGCUGGCCCUGGAGGUCAUCCAGGCCCUCCUUUCCAGGCCAGCCCCCAGCCCUUUCUUUACAUCACUAUGGCUUCUCUGCCGGCACCUUCCCUGGCUUGAAAGGACAGGAGUUGCCUGCUUUCCAGAUGUCUGACCCGGUCUACCAGUUGGCUGGAAGCCCUGUUCCCUGCUGUAACAGCAAUCUGUGGGGAGAAUCUGAGCCAGGCCUUACCAGAUCUGAAAAGGGCUAGAUCCCUGAACCCAGGCAAAUAGACAAAACCGGAACAUUCCCCUCUGUACUGAGGGUCAGACCAGGAGGCAGGAUGCUUGAGUUCACGCUGCACCACACUGAAUGCUGAGGGCUUGGGGGCCAGGGGACACCACUGUCUGGGCCCAGCCACUCCUAGCUCCUUUAUUCUACACUCGCCCCCCCACCCCAAAAGUUCUGCCCACACUGCUGCCCCUCCGCUGAGUGGCAGAGACCCCGUGUCCAGCCUCGCCUGGGUUUAAUUUGUACAAGACUCCCAGCCAACACACUCUGUGAUGCAGCGGAUACAAUAACACUGUUGGGGUGAGGCUCUUCUCCAAGUGCUGACCUUGGCCAGAGAAUCUUCUUGGUCCCAGGUUGGGGAGCGGGGAGGGGUUCGCAAUUCUCCCACCCUUUCCUUUUUUUUUUUUUUAAGAUUUUAUUUAUUUAUUCAUGAGACACACACACACACACAGAGACAGACAGACACAGGCAGAGGGAGAAGCAGGCUCCAUGCAGGAAGCCUGACAUGGGACUCGAUCCUGGGUCUCCAGGAUCAUACCCUGGGCUGAAGGUGCACUAAACCACUGAGCUACUGGGACUGCCUGUCUCCCACCUUUUCCAUCCCCAGCUGGGCUGGUGGUCCCUCCUGCCCCAUCCUCAAGAGAGAGUGGAGAGGGCUAGAGACAGCUUCUCCUCCCAAGCCCCUGACUCCUCCGUCACGCACACAUCUAUACCCACUCAUGCUCAGGCUUCUCCACCCAGCCAGAAGUGUGCCCACCCCCGUUCCUUCCACAGCAAAACCAGCCACCUUCCUCUUAGCCACAAGGGCAUGGGAACAAAGCCCCAGAAUGUUCCUUGCUGAGCUCUCAGGCCUGUUUCCUCCCCAUCCCACUCCACCCCCAUUCUGCUGAUACUCCCCCAGCUUUUCUUACCAACUUUACACUGCUCCCCAGUAUCCAAAUUCCUGGGGGAGCCCCCAGUAGGGGUCUGACCAACAUUCCUAGAAAGGGAGA
RNA transcript from Nyctereutes procyonoides (raccoon dog), 10174 nucleotides. It is a transcript of the gene named interferon stimulated exonuclease gene 20 like 2, with no coding region annotated. The record is from RefSeq and is a predicted model, not a curated record. The transcript has 5 exons. NCBI's taxonomy places the organism in Eukaryota, Metazoa, Chordata, Mammalia, Carnivora, Canidae.